CUACGGGUUGCUGCAGUGAGGAAUAUUGCACAAUGGGGGGAACCCUGAUGCAGCAACGCCGCGUGGAGGAUGACACAUUUCGGUGCGUAAACUCCUUUUAUAUGAGAAGAUAAUGACGGUAUCAUAUGAAUAAGCACCGGCUAACUCCGUGCCAGCAGCCGCGGUAAUACGGGGGGUGCAAGCGUUACUCGGAAUCACUGGGCGUAAAGAGCAUGUAGGCGGAUUAAUAAGUUGGAAGUGAAAUCCUAUAGCUUAACUAUAGAACUGCUUCCAAAACUGUUGAUCUAGAAUAUGGGAGAGGUAGAUGGAAUUUCUGGUGUAGGGGUAAAAUCCGUAGAGAUCAGAAGGAAUACCGAUUGCGAAGGCGAUCUACUAGAACAUUAUUGACGCUGAGACGCGAAAGCGUGGGGAGCAAACAGGAUUAGAUACCCUGGUAGUC
This 439-nucleotide ribosomal RNA is filed under the name uncultured bacterium. RNAcentral describes it as "partial 16S ribosomal RNA". It matches the Rfam family "Bacterial small subunit ribosomal RNA", at positions 339 to 795 of the family's 1533-position model. The record is from RNAcentral.